Molecule: long non-coding RNA, 1282 nt
Organism: Leopardus geoffroyi (Geoffroy's cat)
Lineage: Eukaryota; Metazoa; Chordata; Mammalia; Carnivora; Felidae
Exons: 2
Source: RefSeq, a predicted model, not a curated record
UUCUCCGAGGUCCCCCAGAGAGCCGGCCAGUGUUCUCCCUGCUGAUGGUCACUUGUGUCAGCCCUGGCCACAGCUGAGUCAUUAGGAGAGCAGGUUAAACUUCCAGAUUCCAGGUGGUCCCCAGGGAAGUCUGUUAGUUGCGACAGACCCAGGAAUCCACACUAAUACACUCCAGGCUGCCCACCAGGUUUCUGGAAACAUCCUGUCCCGGCUGUCUCCCUGAGAGUGCAGGGGCUGUCGUGGGAGGAGUCCGCAGCCCCUGCCAAUGGGAGGCGCGUGACGGCCUCCGGGUAGAGCGCAUCCCAGGCCGGCAGGCUGGAGGUGGGCAGGAGCUGUGCCCUGUUGUCGCCAGUGAUGUGAUGGGCUUCUUGGGAAAUGCCCUGAAGAGGGUCUCAUGCCAUCAGGCCCCUCUCGCUCUGCCUCACGCAUAUUACUGCCAGACUCACACCCUCGCCUUCUGUCUCUCCUUCUUCAAAUACGUCAGGCCCACUGCUUCCUCCUUGCUGUUCCCACGGCCUGGAAUGCCUUCCCCUCAGGUCUUCACCAGGUCGCUUCUCCAUCCUGGUCUCAGCUCACAUGUCAGCUGCUCAGACCAGCCUCCCCGACCCAGCCAACCCACUCCCUGCCCCGUGGUUCUCUACCUGAGCCGGCCUCCGUGGCUUCUUGGCCGGCCCCCAAACCAGAGAUCUGUACUGUUUACGUAUGGCCCCCCACGCCCCAGCCCACUGGAGGUCAGCUCCUCGGUGUCGGGACCUCAUCAGUCUGUACCCCCAGCAGCCCAGCACAACGUCUGGCACACGGCGGGCACCUGGGAGAUUUGUUGGCUGAGUGAAUGAACGAGUAUCACGCCUACGUCAGCACGCGUGCCCCAUGCGUCAGGGGAAAGAGCGUGGAAUUGGGGGCGUGCAGCUUUCCACACCCCAGCUCGGCGCUUGCCCCUGGGCCUCUCUGAGCCUCUGUGAGGUGGCUGUGCCCCAGCCUACCAGGCAGGGUAACGUCGGAGCUAGAGACGGUGUGCGUGAGGCUCUGGAGGGCAGUGAGUGGGCCGGUGAGGCUGGGGUUUAUUAUGACAGGGAUAAGGAGGAAAGCAGGCCUUCAGUGUCUGUGGCCCCAGCAGAACCUGCCCGUCCGCGGUUCAUUAACUCAGCAGGUAUUCAUUCAGGUAGCUCUUUGCUGCACUAGACAGUAUUCGGGGAGCUGGGGGUUCAGCGGGGACCAAAGCCCCUGCCCUCAUCCGGCUCACCCCUUCGCGGAGCCAGUAGGCCAGGAGUAGGAUACAUCA